UGGGGAAUUUUGGACAAUGGGGGCAACCCUGAUCCAGCAAUGCCGCGUGAGUGAAGAAGGCCUUCGGGUUGUAAAGCUCUUUUGUCAGGGAAGAAACAGCAGCUCUAACACAGUUUGCGAAUGACGGUACCUGAAGAAUAAGCACCGGCUAACUACGUGCCAGCAGCCGCGGUAAUACGUAGGGUGCGAGCGUUAAUCGGAAUUACUGGGCGUAAAGCGUGCGCAGGCGGUUAUACAAGACAGGCGUGAAAUCCCCGGGCUUAACCUGGGAAUGGCGUCUGUGACUGUAUAGCUAGAGUGUGUCAGAGGGGGGUGGAAUUCCACGUGUAGCAGUGAAAUGCGUAGAUAUGUGGAGGAACACCAAUGGCGAAGGCAGCCCCCUGGGAUAACACUGACGCUCAUGCACGAAAGCGUGGGGAGCAAACAGGAUUAGAUACCCUGGUAGUCCACGCCCUAAACGAUGCUGACUAGUUGUUGGGAAUUUACAUUCUCAGUAACGUAGCUAACGCGUGAAGUCAGCCGCCUGGGA
This 529-nucleotide ribosomal RNA is filed under the name uncultured bacterium. RNAcentral's name for it is "bacterial SSU rRNA". It matches the Rfam family "Bacterial small subunit ribosomal RNA", at positions 355 to 878 of the family's 1533-position model. The record is from RNAcentral.